AAAAUUCCAGGUUUUGGGGCUUUCUUGAUAUAUCAGAAGCACCUAUCUCAAAUUUUUCUUAAGUAAGAAUUAAUGGCCCAGAUGACAAUGAGAUUCCAUUACACACUUAUUAGCAUAGUUAAGAUGCAGAAUAUUAACAGUACCCAAUGCUGGUGAGGAUGUGGCUCAACAGAAACUCUUGUUCCUUGCUGGUAGGAGUGCAAAAUGGCACAACCACCCUGAAAGACAGUGUGGUAGUUUAUUAUUAUCAUUUUGUAGUGCUGGGAAUUGAACCCAGAGACUGAUGCAAGUUUGGAAAGUGCUCUUGGCAAUGUGCUCAUUGAGCUACAUCCCCAGUCCUGGUAGUUAAUUUUUAAAACUAAAGAAACUCUUAACUAUGUGAUUCUGCAGUCACACUCUGAUAUUUAUUCAACUGGGUUCAACCUGUUUGUUCUCACAAAAACUUGUGCAUAGAUGUUUAUGUCAGCUUUAUUCCUAACUGCCCAAACUCAGUAGCAAGUGGCCUUCAACAGGUGAAUGGAUAAACUAUAUCCCAGAUAAAUGGAAUAUAAUUCAGUCCUAAAAGAAAACAGGCUAUCAAGCCGUGAAUGACAUUGAGGAAACCUUGCGUGCAUCUUACUAAGUAAAAGCCAAUCUCUACAGCUACUACAUGAUUCUGAUACUUCCGGUUUUCUGUGAUGAGUCCUGCUUCCCCACAUGUUGAAGUUUGAACAUUAGAGAAGCGCGCUGGGGCAAACUUACGAAGCAGGGUUUAUUUAAAACGGGGGAACAUAGGGUUGGGGCUGCGGCUCAGCGGUAGAGCACUGGUUUAGCACGGUGAGG
Molecule: long non-coding RNA, 822 nt
Filed under: Marmota monax (woodchuck)
Lineage: Eukaryota; Metazoa; Chordata; Mammalia; Rodentia; Sciuridae
Source: RNAcentral